This is a long non-coding RNA of Colossoma macropomum (tambaqui), 221 nucleotides long. RefSeq lists it as uncharacterized. NCBI's taxonomy places the organism in Eukaryota, Metazoa, Chordata, Actinopteri, Characiformes, Serrasalmidae. The record is from RefSeq and is a predicted model, not a curated record. The transcript has 3 exons.
CACUCACCGUCCAUGAUGAGUGACUCAUCCAUGACUCAGCCAAUCAAAAUGAGGGGGACAGAAAAAGAGGACGACGCAUGGUCACACUCACCUUCCAUGAUGAGUGACUCGUCCAUGACUCAGCCAAUCAAAAUGAGGGGGAGAGAAAAAGAGGACGACGCAUGGUCACACUCACCUUCCAUGAUGAGUGACUCGUCCAUGACUCAGCCAAUCAAAAUGAG